Acanthosepion pharaonis is the source of this 111-nucleotide non-coding RNA. The record is from the annotation of a GenBank genome assembly. NCBI's taxonomy places the organism in Eukaryota, Metazoa, Mollusca, Cephalopoda, Sepiida, Sepiidae.
UGGUCACAUCGAAUUGAAACAUUGAUUCCCCGUACAAUCACUGAAGUUAAGCAGUGUUGAACUUGGUCAGUACUGAGAUCGGUGACCAUUUGGGAAUACCAGGUGCUGUAA